GUGCGCGCCUGUAGCAAUACAGGUGGCGCACGGCGCACGGGUGCGUAACACGUGGGUAACCUGCCCUUUAGUGGGGAAUAACCUCGCGAAAGCGAGGCUAAUUCCGCAUAAGAUCCGCAAGGAUGAAAGCCGUAAGGCGCUGAUGGAGGGGCCCGCGCACGAUUAGCUAGUUGGUGAGGUAAUGGCUCACCAAGGCUAUGAUCGUUAGCUGGUCUGAGAGGAUGGCCAGCCACACUGGAACUGAGACACGGUCCAGACUCCUACGGGAGGCAGCAGUGGGGAAUCUUGCACAAUGGGCGAAAGCCUGAUGCAGCGACGCCGCGUGGGGGAUGAAGCUUCUCGGAGUGUAAACCCCUUUCGACCCGGACGAAUACCUCGCAAGAGGGGUGACGGUACGGGUAUAAGAAGCCCCGGCUAACUACGUGCCAGCAGCCGCGGUAAGACGUAGGGGGCCAGCGUUGUUCGGAAUUACUGGGUGUAAAGGGUUCGUAGGCGGUGUGGCAAGUCGGGAGUGAAAUUUCUGGGCUCAACCCAGAGGCUGCUUCCGAAACUGCUGUGCUUGAGUGUGGGAGAGGCGCGUGGAAUUGCA
Molecule: ribosomal RNA, 589 nt
Filed under: uncultured bacterium
Lineage: Bacteria
Description: bacterial SSU rRNA
Rfam family: Bacterial small subunit ribosomal RNA
Source: RNAcentral